Nothoprocta perdicaria is the source of this 1148-nucleotide long non-coding RNA. RefSeq lists it as uncharacterized. Lineage: Eukaryota; Metazoa; Chordata; Aves; Tinamiformes; Tinamidae. The record is from RefSeq and is a predicted model, not a curated record. The transcript is spliced from 6 exons.
GGAUUCUCACUAAUCCUUCCUCCUGGAAUGAUCCUCACCUGAAUUAUAGUCAGAUCCUCACCUGGGACAGCAAAGCUGCAGCUGGAAAUGCAGGAAAGCAAGUAGCCCACUGUCCCACGCUGCACAUGGGAGAGAGCUGAGGAUGGACUCUGGGUCUCCUGAACCACAUGGCCUCCUGGCUGACCAAGGUUAAAAAAUAAGAAUAGCCUUGGAGUUAUCUGCCUCARAUCUACAAGGAGUGUAAUGAUAUGCUAUUCCCUGCACCCUGAGAAACAUAGGACAACCCCUCGCCAGUCUACAGUGCCCCGGAUAAGGCUGAGGACGUUUUUUAGGGGAAGGRGAGACAUAACUAAAGAAAUKGUUUAUUUGUUUGUUUGCCUUUAUAAAACCCAUUUGGGAGGAGCAUCCACAAAUGCACCGUACAUCAGUUAUCUGCUUCGUGCCGGUUACGCUGAUGCUGGAGACGUCCUUUGUUAGAAAUUAAUGUAGGUACAGAAGAAUGGAUCUGGAAGGUUUUGUCUCUUUGAGCAUUUUGACUGAAUUUUCAUUAUCCUCGCCUCUGRACUACUGGAUUCAGCAAGAAAACCGCUGGAAAAUGGAUUUCAGUGGCUCCAAGGCCAUUUAGGGACCUCCUUUUUCUGUCCCUCUUCCCGUUGAAUGAGCAUCAAGAGCCCCUGCAUGAUGCGAGACCGUUGGAGAAGGGCAGCCCAGUGCAACCCGAGGCAACACAGAAGCUCUUCCUGCAAAUUAAAGUGCCKCUGUUUUGAUUGCUAAUGGCAAGUUUUUGCAAAUCACGAGAUAACCUUGCAAGAGGCAAGGUUGUCUAGGGGUGCAAUACGUGCAUGAAGCAAGAAAAUCAAAGCUGUAGUUCUGAUCUAGCAAAUGGGCCCUGGAAUGGAAGCGAAGGGGCGAAACGGCUGGGAUGCGCUGGAUAAAGCGAGCGGAAGCAGCGGCAGUGUCCCAAGCUCCAGGCUGAACAACACGGACCAGCAGGACGCUGCACAUCAGCGUCCGGCCCUGCCAGCUGCUCCUUGUCGGUUGGUUUCGACCAAAAACCGUGGGAGAAAUUGGAAGUGACAAAGCCUACAAACCUAAAACCAGGAGGUGAUGCACUCUGCUUGCUGGGCUGGCUUGUGCUUGGGUCUCCG